GGUAGUGUGUCCGAGCAGUCUAAGGAGCUGGAUUAAGGCUCCAGUCUCUUCGGAGCCAUGGGUUCAAAUCCCACCACUGCUA
This 82-nucleotide transfer RNA is filed under the name Amazona aestiva (blue-fronted amazon). It matches the Rfam family "tRNA". Rfam says of the family: Transfer RNA (tRNA) molecules are approximately 80 nucleotides in length. Their secondary structure includes four short double-helical elements and three loops (D, anti-codon, and T loops). Further hydrogen bonds mediate the characteristic L-shaped molecular structure. tRNAs have two regions of fundamental functional importance: the anti-codon, which is responsible for specific mRNA codon recognition, and the 3' end, to which the tRNAs corresponding amino acid is attached (by aminoacyl-tRNA synthetases). tRNAs cope with the degeneracy of the genetic code in two manners: having more than one tRNA (with a specific anti-codon) for a particular amino acid; and 'wobble' base-pairing, i.e. permitting non-standard base-pairing at the 3rd anti-codon position. The record is from Rfam by way of RNAcentral. RNAcentral also lists the same sequence under 1 other name. Lineage: Eukaryota; Metazoa; Chordata; Aves; Psittaciformes; Psittacidae.